GGCAUAUAUCUAGACUAGAACAAAUCUUUUCCUGCUAAGUUGCUGAAUUGGCAGAGAAGCCCGUGGACUUCGCAAUACCUGAAAUCAAGGCAGAAUUGUCGGAGAAGAUGUUCAAUGGGGCAGAUCUGUGGAAAAGUUUUAUUGCAUUUAUUUAUAUUAUAUUCGUGUGGAUUUGUGUGUUUUAUCUUGCGAGUGUUGAUGUAAGUGUACAUUUUUAGUUUUGGUAUUUUUCAUUUUAGACUGAGUAUUCUACUUUUACUGCUAUUUACUAUUGAGAUUUUACAAAGCAGCUGCUGUGUAAGCCGAGCUGGUUUACAUUUGCUGGUUGUUUUGCAGAGAACACCCAGCACCUGCAUUUUACUGGUCACCUGGAAAGACCCUGUCACCUCCUAAAUCUCAUAUAGAGCAGAGGAAAUGCCACUGCAUGCAGCUCGCUGCCCGCUGUGAACUCCUAUGAGGAAGAAGGGAAAGAAAACCUAAUUCAAGGGAACUGCUGACCUUGGGCCAAGUGCUGUCCGGAAUGUGGAGGGAAUCCAUUGGAAUGAGACUCAGUUUUGUUUUUCUCAAGAAGCUCAUGUGAAUUGGGGUUUGGGCACAGAUCUAUGGACAAGAAAGUCUCGUAAGAGAGAUAAGUGUUAAAAUAGAGGUGUGUACUGGAUACCCUGGAAAUAUACCACAGAGACAACGAUUGACUGUCUGGGCCUGGGAGGGAGGCUGCAGCAAUUUAUAGAACGUGUUAUAAAGGAGAGGACUGCGAAAAUGAAUUGGGAAGGGCUUGUAGGAAUUUGCCAACUUGACAGGGUGAGGAAGGGGGUGGUGGGCAGAGGGGUCAGCUUAGUCAAGUGCAUGGAAGAGUGAGGGUGCAUUGGGGGAGUGCAACUAGUUUGGGGCAGUUGGAGCAAAAAGUGAAUGUGCCUGAGGAAGGAAUAGUAUGUGAGGAAGAUGGAGAUACAGACAAGGUUCAGCUUUUAAGGUCCA
RNAcentral lists this long non-coding RNA (978 nucleotides) under Homo sapiens (human). Its description in RNAcentral is "HSALNT0026239". The record is from RNAcentral. Lineage: Eukaryota; Metazoa; Chordata; Mammalia; Primates; Hominidae.